Molecule: ribosomal RNA, 462 nt
Filed under: uncultured bacterium
Lineage: Bacteria
Description: SSU rRNA
Rfam family: Bacterial small subunit ribosomal RNA
Source: RNAcentral
AGAAUCAACGCUGGCGGCGUGCCUAACACAUGCAAGUCGAACGAGAAAGUGGUAGCAAUACCAUGAGUAAAGUGGCGCACGGGUGAGUAACACGUGACUAACCUACCCUGGAGUGGGGGAUAACUGGGAGAAAUCCUAGCUAAUACCGCAUAAUACCUACGGGUCAAAGGAGCAAUUCGCUUCAGGAGGGGGUCGCGGCCGAUUAGUUAGUUGGCGGGGUAAUGGCCCACCAAGACGAUGAUCGGUAUCCGGCCUGAGAGGGCGCACGGACACACUGGAACUGAAACACGGUCCAGACUCCUACGGGAGGCAGCAGUGGGGAAUUUUGCGCAAUGGGGGAAACCCUGACGCAGCAACGCCGCGUGGAGGAUGAAGUCCCUCGGGACGUAAACUCCUUUCGAUCGGGACGAUUAUGACGGUACCGGAAGAAGAAGCCCCGGCUAACUUCGCGCCAGCAGCCGC